CUAGUUUCUCACGGCCGGAGAGGGAAGUUACAGAUAAACAAGACAGGAAAGCUAGAAUGAGCCCUGUGGGACUGGACUCAGUUACACUCAUGUUUAACCAGAUGGAUAAAUACAGAAAUAAUUACAGAGAUGUGUAGAUGCAUAGGUUUCCUAGCGCUAUCCACUGAACGGGCCUAGAAGCAAGGCCAACCGGGACAAGACCUUCGUAAAGAAUUCCAAAUAAUGUCUGUAGAUGCACCCCCACCAGAAGGGGGAGCUCAGUUCCCAUCCUCCCAGCCCCUGCCUCCAGCCCUAGAGUGUGAGCUCCACUUAGUGAUUUGCUUCCCAGGAAGAGAAUAUAGAAAGGGGACCAAAAAGAGUCACUUUCCAAUGGAGAAACCUGGCAAACACGACCCCGGCCAGGCGAUCAAGGUCAACAUCACCAACAAGUCAGGUGGGCACCCCUGCGGCGGCGGCAUAAGAAGGGCACGUCGACUCCUUCUCACUAUAAGGAAAAUAUCAGAGAAACCCAAAAUGAGGCGCAAUCUACAAAAUAUCUGACCGGCACUCCUCAGUACUCUCAACGUCACGAAAAACAAGGAGAGACAAGCCAUCAUAAACCGGAAGACACUAAGAAGACCCGGAGGAUAGAUGUCAUCGAGCGUCCUGAAUGGGACCCAGGACAGAAAAGGACAGGAGCGGAUACAUGAGUAAAAUCUGAAUCAAGGAUAGAGUUUAACUCACAGUGACGCACCCACGUUGGUUUCUUAUUGUGUGGCAAAUGUACCCUAGUAAUGUACAACACUGACAAUGGAGAAAACUGAUAUGAGGGAUACAUGGGAACUCUCUGUUCCAUCUUUGCAGCUUUUCUGUAAAUCUAAAACCAUUCUGAAAUAAAAAGGUACUUUUCAAAAGGAUGAGAUGAAAACAGAUGUAAUAUUCUUCCUGUGUUCCAGUAGCAUGUCACCACCGUGCUAUUCUAACGCCGGAUGCAGGGCUCACAGACCCAGGCCUCUAAGAGUCCAGAGGGGGAAGAAGAGUGUGACGGAGGCAAGUGGACAGCCAGGCAGAGGCGGGACUGUGGCCGGCUGGGAAGCACGUGACUGUCUAAGGCAUCCUAAAGCAAAAUAUUCCGAAAGAGAAAACAGAAACCUGCGGGUCCAGCCAGUUUGCUUCCUCUAAGCUGAGGUAUAGAUAUUGGAAACCAGAAUGCAAUUUUCACAAUGGAAUUAAUUACAGUUGUUUAUGUAGUUUCUUGAGAGAAGGUCUCCCGUCCUAUAUUUCCCAAACACUGUUCACCUGCUGAUCUGCCUUGAUGUAAAAAACAACAAACAAACAAAACUGUUUCUGGAUUUUUCCAAGGAUACUGCCUCCACUGAUUUUUUUAUAACAAUCAUUUGAUAUUUGACAAAUUUUAUUUUAAACUUUUCCAGAAAACAGCUCAUAGAGUUCUCAUUUACUUACCAAUGCCUACUGUGUAUACUGUUACAAAAUAUCUUUGAUUCCCCAGAACGGAUCUAAUUUCAAAUAUUAUAUCUCAUUGUCAUUCAUAUGUUUUGUCAGAUGAUAGGUCUUGAUAUUUAAUUUAAAAAUACAGUCAUACUCUGAGUCAUUUUGAUGCUGGGGACAUUUUUAUAUAAUACAUCUAACUCCCACUCAAACACUAAGUCAAUAUUAUCAUCCUAGAACUUAUGAAGGGAAGAAUGGGAAAAGGGGAGCAGCCAGGGACUGGGAGAGGCUGGGGGACAGGAUGAUGACCAAGCUUGGCACAGCACACAGCAGCAGUGCCGUGUCAGGCGAGAGGGAGCGAGAAGGCUCAGCUGGCCCUGGUAUGUCAGGCUCAGCUCUGACAUACCAUCAGAGCUAUGGCAGGUUGGGAAGGGCUCUAAGGAAAAAAUGUGGAAGGUUCCAGCAUCGUGGGAAAGACUUUGGAGUCAGGCACACAUGAGUUUGCACCACAACAAUGCCAUUUAUUAGCCACAUUAGUUUACAAAGUAUCUGCUCUAAGCCUCAGUUUCCUCAUUCCAAAUGGAGAUAUCAACACAUUACGGUUGUUUGGUGAGAUAAAAGCUCAUCUUCUGUAAUUAAAAAAAAAAAAAAAAGCAAUGAGGCUUUCAAAGAUUAGUAAGUCAUGUCAAAAUGGCAUGAGAGCCAACUUAAGAAAGCUCUCUUUGGCCAAAUUAUGACAAGUGAACAAACAGAAUAAUGACUGUAAGUGAAUCAACGGAAAUCCAUGCAUCCACCAUGAUACUCAAAAACAGAAAAGGGAAAUAAAACCCAACUUCUCAACUUCUGCAGAAGCUCUUAAACAAUCCCUUACUUUGAAAUUAGAAAGUAAAGGGGGAAAAAAAGUAGCAUCUUGUUUCUGUUUUUACCCAGGCACUAUAUUCCUGGGUAAUUAAAUAGCCCCAGUGGUUGAGCUAAAAGUUCUAAAAUUUACAAUAAAAGGCCACUUUAUAAAAGUAGAAAAAAUAAUAGAGAAAAACCUUUCAUAGAACUUGAAUGACAUUAUUAAAUCAGGCAAAGAUUAUCCAUUGAUUUUAAAACAUUAGAUGCAUGACUGACAUAUUUGUACUACUGCCAAAGUAUUGACCCUCAGAAUAUUCUCUGGUUGCAAGGAGAAAAACAAUGGGCUCAGGCUCUCAUUGCCCUAUCCAGAGGUCAAUCUUAACCUCACUAGUGGUGGGACAGCCAGAUACUGGGCAUCUAUUUCUAAGGUAAUGCAACCUGAAGUACCAACUUCACCUAUGAAGUAUUCUAGGCAAAAAUGUUUCGUGUGAAUUCAUCAAGACUUUGCAUACAAAUUCUACUUUAAGGGAAAUCAGGGGAUGGAGAAACAGAUCCAAUAAAACAACUAGACAAAUCCAAAAGGUAAGACAUUCUACAGGACAACUGAUCUGGUCUCUUCAACAAGCGUCCAAAAGAAAAAAGUGGUGCUAGCUGAAAACAAACUUAAAAGCAAAAUGCAAUGCAAUGAGUGGUCCUGUAUUGUAUACUGGUUUGGACUACCUUGUUAUAAUAAAAUCUGGGGAUCAAAUGGGAGAAAUUUUAAAAUCAUCUGCAGAGUAGAAGCAAUAAAAAAUUACUGAAACAGAAAAUGGAAUAGCACUAGUUGAACAAAGCAAGACACAAAAUAGUAUUUAUAGUCAUCUAAUUUUGAAUUACGGGGAAAACACACCCGCAGGUAUUCAUAUACGCAGGUCAUUAAAUGAUCCUGAGUGAUAUACACUCUGGCUUCAUGGUCGUGAUCUCUGGGCAGGAGGAAUGUGAAAUUUCUCUCCUUUCAUUUUUGUUUGUCUCAACGGUAUUCCUGCACUAGUCUUUGCUGAUAGUGCUUCUGUAAUGAUAAACGAUUUGUUGUUUGUCUGAAAAGUCCCUGUGUCCUAACAGGCUCACAGUGUUGCUCAGUGAGGCCAGGACAGUGACAGUGCUGAAUGCUUCCACCUGUGUGAGGGCUUGUCAUUCAUAAUGCAAGUGAGGACUUCGGAACUUCACCUGAUGAAUGGCAAGUUUCCUAGCAGGAAGUAAGAUGUGAAAAUCGGUGCUUGCGGGAAGGUUGAGCUAACAGACAAGCACAAGGUAAAUUCCGCAGAAGAGACAGAAGAGACCAGCUGGAAGAGAUCAAACGAAUUCUGCUGGAAGUGAGAAGGACUCAGCCGAGGCAGUGGCUCUGUGUGGCCAUGGAACAUCAUAAUCAUCUAAGAGUCCUUUCUAAGGAAGAGUCUGCAGAACUUCCCCACUGGCUGGGUACCAGGAGUGGUGGAAGGAUCACACAUGAGGCCAAGGUAUUAAGCUCCAAAGACUAAGAACAUCAAGAAAACCCGAAAGCCCUCCACACAGACAAACUGCAGGAGGACAAGGUACAUAAAGGAGAUUACAGUGGCCAGUGCUGUCAAACUUGGUGAAAAGAUGGACGAUGAUAUGGUUUGGAUGUUUGGUCUCCUCCAAAUCUCAGGGUGAGAUGUGACCUCCAAUGUUGGAGGUGGUUCUGGUGGAAGGUGUUUGGGUCAUGGGAAUGGAUCCUUCAUGGUUUGGUGCCCUCCCCACAGUAAUGAGUGAGUUCUCACUCUGUGAGUCCAAGUAAGAGCUGGUUGUUUAAAAGAGCCUGCCAUCCUAUUCACAAUAGCAAAGACUUGGAACCAACCCAAAUGUCCAUCAAUGAUAGACUGGAUUAAGAAAAUGUGGCACAUAUACACCAUGGAAUACUAUGCAGCCAUAAAAAAGGAUGAGUUCAUGUCCUUUGUAGGGACACGGAUGAAGCUGGAAACCAUCAUUCUGAACAAACUAUCGCAAGGACAGAAAACCAAACACUGCAUGUUCUCACUCAUAGGUGGGAAUUGAACAAUGAGAACACUUGGACAUAGGAUGGGGAACAUCACACACCGGGGGCUGUCGUUGGGUGGGGGGAGGGGGGAGGGAUAGCAUUAGGAGAUAUACCUAAUGUAAAUGACAAGUUAACGGGUGCAGCCCACCAACAUGGCACAUGUAUACAUAUGUAACAAACCUGCACAUUGUGCACAUGUACCCUAGAACUUAAAGUAUAAUAAAAAAAUAAAAGAGCCUGCCAACACUCACUUGCUCCUGCUCUUUCCCUGUGACACACCAGCUCCCCCUUUGCCUUCUAUCAUGAUUGGAAGCCUCUGAGGUCCUCACCAGAAGCAGAUGCUGGCACCAGGCUUCCUUGCAGCCUGCAGAACCAUGAGCCAGUUAAACCUCUUUUCUUUAUAAAUUACCCAGUCUCAGGUGUUCCUUUACAGGAAUGAAAACAGACUAAUAGAAAUGAUGAACAAGGUCAGUGAGAAAAAGAUCACUGGAUUUUAUUGAGAGGAAAUCUUAUCAGACAAUUCCAGUGAACGGAAUUUCAUCAAAAUGCUGAGGAUGUAGGCCAGAUGCCAGAAGGUUACGCUGGAGGAGCUUGCUCAAGAAAUUUAAAAAUCAUCUACGGAGAUGUCAGUUUAAAAACAGAGAAAAGGAAAGAAAAAGAAGGAAGAAAGUAUGUGUAGGAAUACUCAAAGUAGAUACAAUGUGAUCACAUUAAGUAGCAAUAUUGACAUCUCCUUUACAAUGAUUCUAAUGUAUAACUUAUGCUGCCUAGAAAAUUCUUAGUGUCACCAGGAGUUAAAUAAGAUAUCACUGGUAUUCACAAGAUACAAAGAUUACCAAAAGCAUGGAUAAGUCAUUUGACAAAGCAAAAGUUAUCAGAAGUUUAUACUGCAUGAUACAGGAAACCAUUUCCUGAAGUCUACAGUAAAUGUGUUCAUUUAUUUUUUGCUUUGUAAGAACAAGAACCCAAACUACAAUAUGUAGAAAGAUUGGAAACAUUCAUCACUAAAAGCAUCAUUUACAAAGAGAGUGCUAUGUAAAUCUCAUUAACACAGAAUUAAUGUUCAAGUGCUCUGAUCCAGAGGAAAUCGUUAAGAUUAAGAACUUUAACUUAAAUAAACAGAAAUUCUCAGAAGACUGCCACUUCACGGCCUACUUGAAAACAAGAAAUUUUAAAUCAUGAAUGCACUACAUGAACUAUUUUAAAAAUCAAAGAGAACAACUCAAAUGGAUUAAUGAGAAUACAGAUGAGGAGGAGGAAUCCCCACCCAGGAGCCCUCUUAAAUGUAGCUCAGCUGCCAUCCAGACAGCUAGUUCAGGCAGGCCUGGGCAACCUAAUUCGAAUGUGGGCUCCCGCUCACCACCCCUCCUACAGUCUCCAUCUCAGCUACCCAGAGUCACCAUCUGCCCAACCAUGCAACCAUUCUUGUCCUUUCACCUCACUCUCCAGAUGCUGAUUCCCACACAGUAUUACUGACAUUACCUAGGAGAAGUCUCUGACAAGUGGCCACUCUGGCCCACCCCCUCAUCCUCAGUCUUAUUUCCAACCCUCACCAUCUUCCCUAUGACUCACUGAACCGAUCCUUCACACAUUUUGUCAGAUUUAUUCCUAAGUGUGUCAUUUGUUUUGAGGCUGAAAAGGAUGUUACAUCAUGACCAGGUAAGGUUUAUCCCCAGAAUGCAAGGUUGGUUUAACAUUCUAAAACCAAUCCAUCUAAGUCACCACAUUAACAAAGAAAGAAAGAAAAAAUAUGAUCAUCUCAAAAGAUACAUAAUAAGCAUUCGGGAAAAUUCAGUAUCCUUUCCUAAUUUUUCAAAAAAAUUAUCAGUAAACUAGGACUAUAAGGUUCAGAAAGAUAAAACAAUUAUCUUUUAUGUUACAGAACUGCUUUUAAAGUCAGCCAAAGACUAAACAACAUCUAAUUCUUUUUCUGCUUGCAGUCUUACGUUUGCUUUCUUGCUUUUCUUUCUUGUCUUACAAUUUUCCUGAGGGGCUAUUAUUUAUACAGCAAUAAUUUUCUUUAUCAUAGGAUAUCUUAUGCCUUGAAAUGAAUGUCAGAAAAUUCUCUGUAUCCUGUCUUCCUUGGCAGAACAAGGAAAAAAAUCUAGGAUAUUCAAGUUUUGAUUUACAAAACUAAUAAAUUCUGGCUAGGGGUGAGUCACAGUGUUAUUACUCCCUUACGGUCUUAAGGUGGCUCCACAGUCUGCAUUAAGGAGUCUGGAUCUUUAAAGUGGCAUUCAGGAUUCUUCACUUGUGGUCUCACCUUACAUGCUCUGACCUCAUCUUUUAUGGCCCUACUUCAACAAUAUUGCCCCAAAUACAUACAUACAUACACACACACAUACAUAUACAUACAUAUAUAUAUAUAUAUAUUUAAAAAGCCCGUUUCUCCUUGUUUUUGCUGAGGCUGGUCCUUUGGCUUAGAAUGCCUUUCCACCACUCCCUGCGCCUUUUUGCCUGCCUCCUUCCCAAGCCGUCUGUGACCCUUUUAGUGGGAACAAGCAUCUGUCGAGCACCCGUCAUGUGCCAGACAGUCUGCUACGCAUGGGGAAAGAUGAAAGGAAAGCACUUCUGCCUUCACGGAGCUUGAAGUCUAGUGGGGUGACAGACAAGGACAGUGCCAACGACUCCGCCCAGUGAUGAUGAGACUGCACCUGGAGAAGGCAGGCAGGAGCCGUGCGUCUCUUCAGCUCUCAGGAAGCGGAGCAUUCCCUGCAGUUGGGUUCUGUGCAACCUCCUUCACCAUAAGAACUCCUGUUGACAUACUAAGGAUGGUCUCCAUUUCAAAGAUGGCCUGAAGUAACCCGUCCACUCUAACAAAGCGGGUAAAAAGCUGAGGUUCAUUACAGAUCUGUUUGAAGCCAAAUAAAUAUAAGGUUUUCCCUCCUUCAUUCUGCCUGUUUCAGUAGUGGAGAUAUUUCUAGGGGUGGGGGAUAGAAUUCUUUUUGUUUGACGUUGUCUCUAUUUAAACUGCUUUGGAUUUUUUAGAAACUAAUAAUGUCACCUAAAUGUCCUUACCCAAAGCAAACAUAUUGGCUUUCUGUCAGUCAUUCUCAAUAGCAAAUCUAACACAAUUUUCCUGUUUAGCAAGAAAUGCAAUAAAAGCACACAUCUCCUUCCACUGUCUGGUUUUUUUCCUACUGUCUUCACAUGGAUCAUGCUGAACGCACUGGUGGCGGCUGGUUUUAAGAGAAUAGUUCGUGAGUCCCACCUAGCACUGCAAAGAUUCCCCAGAGUCCCUGCGGACCCUGCGGAUGAACUACCUGGUGCUUCGCGGUGACAGCGUCUUGCAAAGAUUUCAGGGUUUCUGAGAAUCCUGGUGUUUUGCUGCCACGAAUCAUAACCUGGGAGAAUACUGAAGCGGGGCUGGCAGCUUUAUACAUUUGCUAGACAGGUGUUUCUAGGCUUCCUCCAAAUAAGCAUGUCAAUGCCUAGAUUAUUUGGAUGUUUAUGUUAAAAUUUAAUCUCAGGCUGGGCACAGUGGCUCAUGCCUUAAUCCCAGCACUUUGGGAGGCCAAGGCGGGAGGAUCACGUGAGGUCAGGAGUUUGAGACCAUCCUGGCCAACAUGGAGAAACCCCAUCUCUACUAAAAAUACAAAAUUAGCCGAGUGUGGUGCACACGCAUGUAGUCCCAACUACUUGGGAGGCGGAGGCAGGAGAAUCGCUUGAACCCAGAAGGCAGAGGUUGCAGUGUGCCGAGAUCGCACCGUUGCACUCCAGCCUGGGCGACAAAAAUGAAACUCUGUCUCAAAAAAAAAAAAAAAAUUAAUCUCAAAUGUUUAUUAAAAUUCCUUCUCAGGAAUUCAGGUAUUAUCAGUUAGUUGCUGAGGCACCCCAAACUAAGCUACUUUGAGAGAGCUUACCAUGUACCAUUUCUAUGAGACACACCGGAAGUGUCCGUAAGGAUGCUUGUGGUCCAGUCCUAAAGACAACAAAAAAUGUCAAAACAAAUUGAAAAAUAUUUCAUCUCUUAAGGUGGUGGUCCUCAAACUGUGGUCUCCACACCAGAAGUAGCGGCAGCACCUGGGGGCUUAUUCUACAUGCAAACUCCCAGGCCCUCUGCAAAUGGGGUCCAGCAAGCUGUGGCAUAACCAGCCUUCCAGGUGAUGCUGAUUCUGGUUAACGCAGAUGCCACUGCCUUAAGUUGCUGGCAUGAUCAGAUGUAGCAGCCUAUGAUCAACAGGAAGACACACUGGAAGAGCAGAGCAAUUCUUUAGAGGUCAUUUCAUUUGCUUUCCUGUUCCCUCAUCCAACGUUUAAUGACAGCCUGCUCCAUGUCAGCCCCUGUAGCAGGCACUGGAAGUGCAGAGGUUCCUGUGGUAUCCCACUCUGAUCCAUGGACACAAAGUCUACUGGGGAAACCACACAUACAUGCCAUCGGCCCUUGAACAACAUGGGUCUGAGUUGAGCAGGUCUGCUUAGAAGCAGAUUUUUUUUUCAACCAAAGGUGCAACAAAAACACAGUAUUGGUGGGAUGUGAAACCCACAUAUUUGCAGGGCCAACUUUUCAUAUGCAGGGGUUCUGCAGGGCCAACUGCAGGACUAGAGUAUGUGUGGAUUUGGGUGUAUGGAAGAUCCUGGAACCAAUCCCCCGUGUAUACCAAGGGGAGACCAUCAUUUAAAACGCUGGCAGUUGGUGUUGGUGUUGUUCAGACAGUGUUUGUUGCUCAGCACAGCAAACCAUCACUGACAUAGGCCCUGAAGGGGCCCCGUGGACACACUCUGCCUCUUCCGUGGCAUCUCUGUGGUGAGGCCUCUGCAGACGAUCCGCCUAAAACAACGAGCAGGAGUCACUCCCGUGUCUUUCCUUGUUUGUCCACGUGGUAUUUGUUUGCUGCUUGUCUCUUCUGCUGGAUGUCAGCUCAGGAACGUCGCCUUGUUCACUGUUACGCCCCCAGCAUUCAGAACUGGGCAUGCUCUAGGUGCUCACUGGAUGUUUGCUGAAGGAAUGGAUUACAUGAAAUGUCACAGGGGUUCCUGGAGACAGUGAUCAUCAUGCAAGGCAAAGGACAGGAACUCAAGGAACAGGCCGUCCCCCUUCUCUGUCCUUAACAUCUGUGUUAGAAUUCCACAUGCAGCAGACUCUCUCUGCAUCUCUUACUUCUACAUUUCUUAUUAAGUUUUGAAAUUGUUGAGCAGAUUAAAGGAUUCCUUUGAAGCUUUUAUGCUUAAACUUUGUGGAAAGAAAUUCCCUGUCUCUGUAACUAUUACUGGGACAGAUUAGAAAUAAUUUGGAACUGAAUUGGAUUUGCUAUUUUGUAAGCUUUUCUUAUCUACCAAGGCUAAUAGCAGAAACUUAACUCCUUACAAUAGCCCCGGAGAAAGUAUUAUUAUCUGCAUUUCACAGAUUGGAAACUGAGGGUCAGAUAGGCUAAAGGGUUUAUACUCCACUGCUCUAUAAAUAUGGUUUGAAUUGAGACAGAAUGUUUUGUAUCCCAUAAUAAGUUGGGAAACUUAGAAAUUAUACGUAAAGGGGCAGCAGGAUAUCACGGAAACAGCGUGAACUUUGGAUUCAGACAUAUCCUGAUUUGAAUUUUAACUUCUACUUAGUAACUGCUUGACCUUGGGCUAACUUAAUCUUUCUAAGCUGUUCAGUCAUUUCCACUUGAAUGAUGGGAAGUUGUAGUCAUGAGGGAAGUAAUCUGUAAACACUGUCACCGCGCUAAAUCUCCUCGGCGUCACAUCCCGAGCCUCUGUCUCGCUCUUCUUCUGGCCUCGGCCUGUUCGGCUGCCUGCCAUGCCUGGGCGUGCCAGCCUAGCAGAGGGGCCGGAACCGUGAAUUCUGCCAUCAGCUGGCCCAGGGCCGAGCCUGCCUCUGCCGCUGAACUACUGAGGUGAUUCAGGGCAAGGCACCCAGCAGGGCCACGCCGCUGUCUUCAUCUAGAAAACAGGAAUGCUGGGAGGGACCCCCGCCUCACAGGUCUGUGGUGAACGCGCACCGUCAAUGCAGAGGAAACUCCAGGCGCAGGGCCCAGCACCAAGUGAGCAUCGGAAAAUGCUGGACAGGACACUGUGGCGGCUGCUGCUGCUGGAGGGAAGUGGGGGGUUCCUCCACUCUCUCUGGACUUCCCCAUCCCCCCGUCUGCCUGAAGAAUCCCAGCCGGUUCUCCGGGAAGCCUUCUCUCUUCCAUGUCCCCCCACGCCCCCGCUAGCUUCAUCUCCCUCCCUUGCCUAAGCCCUUUCUCUCCUGGAUUCCCUGUACCCGCACCCCCUUUCCCACCCAGCAAACCGACGAUUACAUGGCUGUCUUGGGAACAAACAGAUGAUGAAGGCACUGCCUGUCCCCAAGGAAGGCCACAGUCCCAACUGCACACCUCUACGGCAAGAGCAGCGCUGGGCACCAUUGCUUCUGUGGAUGUUCUCUCCCCCGGCUCUACUGCAAGAUUUUCAAGGGCAGAAGCAUGUCUUAUGCAAGCCUGUGGCCAUGCUCCUCACACAAAUCAGGCUGCUGUAAGUGUUCAAGGAGUAACUGGCAUAAUACGUGUUUUCCUCGCCGCUGAUGGGAACAGCCAUUCUGCUGCUCCCCAGGCCCCGAAGGGCUCGUGGAAACCAUUUUUAAUUUGUAACACAGCUUGAUUAAGAAGCAAUGCUAUUUGUUGUAUAUCCUAGGGUUUUUUUUUUUUUAAAAACUUGAAUACAUUUGCUCCUAAGUUGUCUUUACAGAUUCUUUUGGUCCAUUUGCAACUGUAAUUAUUAAAAUGUAAAAGUUAGCUGGGUGUGGUGGCUCACACCUGCAGCCCUAGUGCUUUGGGAGACCAAGGCAGGAGGUUCACUUGAGGCCAGGAGUUCAAGACCAACCUGGUCAUCAAAGCCAGACCACAUCUCUACAACAAAUUAAAAAUAAAAAAAAGUAUUUUUUUUAAAAUUAGCUGGAAGGCCAGGCAUGGUGGCAUAUGCCUGUAAUUCCAGCACUUUGGUAGACCGAGGCAGGUGAAUUACUUGAGCCCAGGUGUUCGAGACCAGCCUGGGCAACAUGUUGAAAUCCUGUCUCUGCAAAAAAUACAAAACUUAGCCAGGUGUGGUAGCACGCACCUGUAGUCCCAGCUACUUGAGUCGCUGAGGCAGGAGAAUCACUUGAGCCCAGGAGGUCAAGGCUACAGUGUGCUGUGAUCACACCACUGCAUUCUAGCCUGAGCAACAGAGCACAACCCUGUCUCUUAAGAAAAAAAUAUAAAAGUAUAUAGAAACUUCAUAAACAUCCCACAAUUCUUUAUUUUAAAAGCUAAAGUAACGUAUUUUACAUGACGUAUCUGAAUGUUGUUAGAAUCCCAAAAAACCCAGAGUUAAGCUUUAUUCUGAUCGAAUGAGAUAAAACAUACUUUACUGCCUUGCUUUGCCUCACUAAUGAAGAGAAUCUUCAGGCAACCCCAUGGAGAGGGGCUGUCUGGCCUCACUGUCUGGAAUAUCCGGGUCAAGAAAUGUGUACAGAAGGCAUGCUUCACAAGCCCAUGGCCACGAGGCGCUUACAGUGAUGGGGAGCUCAGCAAUAUAAGCAAAGGACAACAGUAACAGUGUGGGAGGUGCUACCAUCCAGGUGGGAACGGACAGCAGACGAGGACACAGGAAGAAGGGCCUGACUCUGGGUGUGCCACUUGCGGAGGAAGGCUCAGCAGACCAGGUGACCUCAGAGCUCACCCAGGAGGACAGAGGAGCAUGCCAUGAAUGAAAGGAAGUGAGCAAGAAGGCCCAGCCAAGCAAAGAGCCUGCGCUCAGGACCAGCAAUGCAAGAAGACACGCCUCAUCCAGCCAGUUACAGCUGCCUGAUGUGUCCUCCAUAAGCACAUAUUCACAUCUACUAUGAGUAAAAGCUGAGAGUGCAUCAGUCCUUAAAAAGGACAGCUCCUUACCACCUGGAUGUGAUGACCAAGGCCCCAGCCUUCCCUCUGCGUUUGGACCACGCAGAGCCCAUCUCUCUCCUGGGCCUCUGCUGAGCCGCUCCUCAGGCUGGAAUGAGUUCCCCUCCCUUCGUGCAGCCAGCUCUCUCUUGCCGCUUGACCUUAGUCUAAGUGCUACCUCCUCACCCAGCUUCAAGCAGCCACCACUCUCUGCCACAAGACCCUACUUAAACCUCCGAGGAGCCACACUCUGCCAUCUGGGUUUUUUUCUUACUUGUUAACAGUAUCUAUCGAUUGACGGGUCUAACCCACGAAUCAUCUUUAAGUCCUCUCUGCAUCUCACGUCGCAUGUCCAACCCAAAAGGAAAUCCUGCUAGCUCUGAGAGUAUGUCCAGGGAUGGCUUUCGUGGUUCGCACCAACUCAGAGUCACUGUAGUUUUCCUCCUGGCUCUUCUCCCCCGUUGCCUUCACUCCUUUCCCUAAGUCAACUCCCCACACAGCUCGCAGAGUCUCCUGAGGAAAGGGGGCUCACACCCUGCCCCUAGCACUCAAGAGGAAAUGUCAAAGUCUGCACUGGUCUCCAAGGCCUCUGCAUGAUACACCAUUUAACAGAAGAGAAGACCUGGCGGAAUGAAUGAGAUAUUUGACUGCAGUUUUAUAUAUUCUCAAGAACGUAAAGAUACUGCCUCCUGAGGAGUUAUCUUCAAGUAGCUGCAGCUCCCUAACAGAACCCAGCUGGCAUGCGGGAGAAGUCUACCUAUGAGUAUGGCGAGUAUCACAGACUUCCAGUGUAAACCAGGCCAAGAGAACAAACCACCAGAGGCAACUUGUGCAAGAAAUCACGUUCAUACUGAUUUUGACUUAAGAUACAUGCAACAGCAGAGACAAAAGAGCAAAUGGUAGAAAGUGAGGUUGGUAAGAUGUGGACUCACAUCAGUAUGACACUUUAUGCUUUCUAAACUUGCCCUCGUUUUAUUUAUUCUUUCUUUUUAAGUUCCAGAGUACAUGUGCAGGAUGUGCAGGUUUAUUCCAUAGGUAAACGUGUGCCAUGGUGGUUUGCUGCACCUAUCAACCCAUCACCCACGUAUUAAACCCAGCAUGCAUUAGCUAUUUUUCCUAAUGCUCUCCCUCCCCUCACUCCACCCCACAACAGGCCCCAGCGUGUGUUGUUCCCCUCCCUGUGUCCAUGUGUUCUCAUUGUUCAGCUUCCACUUGUAAGACAGAACAUGCGGUGUUUGGUUUUCUGCUCCUGCGUUAGUUUGCUGAGGAUAAUGAAACUUGUCCCCAUUUUAAAGAACAGCAAUAAACAACCUGCUCGCAGUCA
Molecule: long non-coding RNA, 13462 nt
Organism: Homo sapiens (human)
Lineage: Eukaryota; Metazoa; Chordata; Mammalia; Primates; Hominidae
Exons: 2
Source: RefSeq, a predicted model, not a curated record